GGUAGUUUUCCAGUGAGGCACUUUGGAAUCGGGCUCCCUCCUCUCUGAUUCCUGGGGCGUCACCUGAGAACCACA
Molecule: non-coding RNA, 75 nt
Organism: Myotis davidii
Lineage: Eukaryota; Metazoa; Chordata; Mammalia; Chiroptera; Vespertilionidae
Source: Rfam